UCGCACCUACUGAUUGAGUGACUCGAUGAAAUAUUGGGACUGUAGAGGCAUCUUGCUUUAUUGGAAGUGCUUUUGUGGGAACUUUUUUAAAUCUCGCCACUUAGAAGAAGGUG
Molecule: ribosomal RNA, 113 nt
Filed under: uncultured eukaryote
Lineage: Eukaryota
Description: partial small subunit ribosomal RNA
Source: RNAcentral